GCUCAUUGGCUUCUCCUCGAGAAGUACAAUUCUUCCAAACUUCAUACCAAACUUCAUCUUCUUCGGACGAUUUUCCCCAAUUCUCUUAUAAAACCCUAAAUUUCUCAAUUAAUUGUCAUAGAUUUUCAUUCAUGGAAGCUCCGAUUCUUCCAUUUUCCUCCAUACCCAAUCUCUUCUCCUUCUUCAUCUUUUUUCUCAUAAUUUACCUCAUUGCCUACUUCAUAAUCUUCCCUUCAUGGAAACCAAAACUCCGUCCAGAAGCUUCAAGCUGUGUUAUCUCCUUCUUCCACGGCACACCCGCCGUAUUCCUCGCCGUUACUUCUCUACUCGCCGACCCAGAUCGUAAUUUUCACUCUACCAACACCCCUUUUCAGAACAUGGUCCUUGAUUACAGCAUAGCUUAUUUCUUAAUGGACCUAACCCACUACCUGAUUUUCUACCCUAGUGAUGUUCUCUUCAUCGGACAUCAUCUUGCUACCCUCUUCGUUUUUGUUACGUGUAGGUAUAUGGUGUAUCAUGGGGCUUAUGCGAUUCUUGUGCUUUUGAUUCUUGCGGAGGUUACUAGCUUUGUACAGAACACAUGGACUCUUGCCAGUGCUAGGAAAUCCGAUGUGGAGUUUGCUGCCAAGGUCUAUUCCGUGCUUUCGCCUCCGUUUUAUGUUUUCUAUUCAUUGGUGAGAGGUAUUGCUGGGCCGUAUUUUGUUUACAGGAUGCUUUCGUAUUAUCUUAGUGGUGCUGCUGAUAACGUACUACCGAGAUGGAUUUGGGUUUCUUGGGUAUUUGUUGUUGUUACUGCUAUUUCUGUUAGCAUAUUGUGGAUUUCAAAUCUUUGGGUAGAAUUGUAUAAAGAAAUGAGUAGGAAAUUUGAGAAAAAAGUUAGGUGAGCUAAAAAUGUUGUGGUUUAUAGAUUACUUAUAUGGUUUAUUGAAUGAGACAUUGGGAAAAAAAACCCCAAAAUCCUUCAUUGUCUGUUUGCUCCCUAGGUGGGAUGCAUAAAUUCAGAAAUAUAUUUACUCUAUAGUCU
RNAcentral lists this unclassified non-coding RNA (1024 nucleotides) under Hevea brasiliensis (rubber tree). Lineage: Eukaryota; Viridiplantae; Streptophyta; Magnoliopsida; Malpighiales; Euphorbiaceae. The record is from RNAcentral.